This 484-nucleotide ribosomal RNA is filed under the name uncultured bacterium. RNAcentral describes it as "partial 16S ribosomal RNA". It matches the Rfam family "Bacterial small subunit ribosomal RNA", at positions 30 to 507 of the family's 1533-position model. The record is from RNAcentral.
AUUGAACGCUGGCGGCAGGCCUAACACAUGCAAGUCGAGCGGAUGAAGGGAGCUUGCUCCUGGAUUCAGCGGCGGACGGGUGAGUAAUGCCUAGGAAUCUGCCUGGUAGUGGGGGAUAACGUCCGGAAACGGGCGCUAAUACCGCAUACGGCCUGAGGGAGAAAGUGGGUGAUCUUCGGACCUCACGCUAUCAGAUGAGCCUAGGUCGGAUUAGCUAGUUGGUGGGGUAAAGGCCUACCAAGGCGACGAUCCGUAACUGGUCUGAGAGGAUGAUCAGUCACACUGGAACUGAGACACGGUCCAGACUCCUACGGGAGGCAGCAGUGGGGAAUAUUGGACAAUGGGCGAAAGCCUGAUCCAGACAUGCCGCGUGUGUGAAGAAGGUCUUCGGAUUGUAAAGCACUUUAAGUUGGGAGGAAGGGCAGUAAGUUAAUACCUUGCUGUUUUGACGUUACCAACAGAAUAAGCACCGGCUAACUUCGUG